UACGAAGGGGGGCUAGCGUUGCUCGGAAUGACUGGGCGUAAAGGGCGCGUAGGCGGUUUGUACAGUCAGGUGUGAAAUUCCCGGGCUCAACCUGGGGGCUGCACUUGAUACGUAUGGACUGGAGUGGGGAAGAGGGUCGUGGAAUUCCCAGUGUAGAGGUGAAAUUCGUAGAUAUUGGGAAGAACACCGGUGGCGAAGGCGGCGACCUGGUCCUUGACUGACGCUGAGAAGCGAAAGCGUGGGGAGCGAACAGG
RNAcentral lists this ribosomal RNA (254 nucleotides) under uncultured bacterium. Its description in RNAcentral is "partial 16S ribosomal RNA". It matches the Rfam family "Bacterial small subunit ribosomal RNA", at positions 524 to 776 of the family's 1533-position model. The record is from RNAcentral.